Molecule: ribosomal RNA, 454 nt
Filed under: uncultured bacterium
Lineage: Bacteria
Description: bacterial SSU rRNA
Rfam family: Bacterial small subunit ribosomal RNA
Source: RNAcentral
AGAGUUUGAUCCUGGCUCAGAUUGAACGCUGGCGGCAUGCCUUACACAUGCAAGUCGAACGGCAGCACGGGAGCAAUCCUGGUGGCGAGUGGCGAACGGGUGAGUAAUAUAUCGGAACGUGCCCAGUCGUGGGGGAUAACGCAGCGAAAGCUGUGCUAAUACCGCAUACGAUCUCUGGAUGAAAGCGGGGGACUCGCAAGGGCCUCGCGCGAUUGGAGCGGCCGAUAUCAGAUUAGCUAGUUGGUGGGGUAAAAGCCCACCAAGGCGACGAUCUGUAGCUGGUCUGAGAGGACGACCAGCCACACUGGAACUGAGACACGGUCCAGACUCCUACGGGAGGCAGCAGUGGGGAAUUUUGGACAAUGGGCGCAAGCCUGAUCCAGCAAUGCCGCGUGCAGGAUGAAGGCCUUCGGGUUGUAAACUGCUUUUGUACGGAACGAAACGGUCCUUUCUA